AACUCGGCAAAAUGACCCCGUAACUGAGGGAUAAGGGGUGCCACCAUCAGGUGGCCGCAGAGAAUAGGCCCAAGCGACUGUUUACCAAAAACAUAGGUUUCUGCUAAGUCGCAAGACGAUGUAUAGGGGCUGACGCCUGCCCGGUGCUGGAAGGUUAAGGGGAUCUGUUAGAGCAAUCGAAGCAGUGAACUUAAGCCCCAGUAAACGGCGGCCGUAACUAUACCGGUCCUAAGGUAGCGAAAUUCCUUGUCGGGUAAGUUCCGACCCGCACGAAAGGCGUAACGAUUUGGGCACUGUCUCAACAACAGACUCGGUGAAAUUGUAAUUCCGGUGAAGAUGCCGGAUACCUG
RNAcentral lists this ribosomal RNA (350 nucleotides) under Clostridioides difficile. RNAcentral's name for it is "bacterial LSU rRNA". It matches the Rfam family "Bacterial large subunit ribosomal RNA", at positions 1711 to 2072 of the family's 2925-position model. The record is from RNAcentral. Lineage: Bacteria; Bacillati; Bacillota; Clostridia; Peptostreptococcales; Peptostreptococcaceae.